Molecule: ribosomal RNA, 253 nt
Filed under: uncultured bacterium
Lineage: Bacteria
Description: partial 16S ribosomal RNA
Rfam family: Bacterial small subunit ribosomal RNA
Source: RNAcentral
UACGUAGGCAGCAAGCGUUGUUCGGAAUUACUGGGCGUAAAGAGUGUGUAGGCGGUGCUCCAAGUCUGGUGUGAAAUCUCCCGGCUUAACUGGGAGGGUGCGCCGAAAACUGGAAUGCUCGAGCGUGGGAGAGGAAAGCGGAAUUCCUGGUGUAGCGGUGAAAUGCGUAGAUAUCAGGAGGAACACCAGCGGUGUAGACGGCUUUCUGGACCAUUGCUGACGCUGAGACACGAAAGCGUGGGUAGCAAACAGG